AUACGGAGGGUGCAAGCGUUACUCGGAAUCACUGGGCGUAAAGCGCGCGCAGGCGGCCAUUUAAGUUGGAUGUGAAAGCCUACGGCUCAACCGUAGAACUGCAUCCAAAACUAUUUGGCUAGAGUGUGGGAGAGGAAGAUGGAAUUAGUUGUGUAGGGGUAAAAUCCGUAGAGAUAACUAGGAAUACCAAAAGCGAAGGCAAUCUUCUGGAACACUACUGACGCUGAGGCGCGAAAGCGUGGGGAGCAAACGGGAUUAGAAACCCCUGUAGUCC
RNAcentral lists this ribosomal RNA (274 nucleotides) under uncultured bacterium. RNAcentral describes it as "partial 16S ribosomal RNA". It matches the Rfam family "Bacterial small subunit ribosomal RNA", at positions 523 to 796 of the family's 1533-position model. The record is from RNAcentral.